GGAGCUUGCUUUGCUUGGGUUAAACCUACAACCCAGGCCAUGACGAGCCACCUAGAUGGCGACUAGAGGAAGCGUAGUGGAGGUGGUCUCCAAGUCACCUUCGACACUCGUCUUUUCCCCCGUGCACGGUGGUUUGGAACCACGUCGGGUUCUAGAGGGGGUUAUAGUGAUGCAGUGGGCUCGUUUGGCAGUUCCACUGGUAACACGGCACUUUACUUGGUUCAUGGGUCAUCGCUUCAACGGGUGAAUCGAUGGUAGCCUUUGUGUGCGUUGCACUCUGUGUUCAGUGGCUCUUGAUCUGGACUGGCCCUUGUCUCUCUUCUUUGGAGGAAUAUGUAUGUAUGCGACGGUAGAGAAAAAGUUGUGAUGUUGGGCGCCCUUACUGUUUACUACCUUUGUUCUUGGCUUGCCACCAGCUUGCUCUCUGGUCGAUCUUCUUCCCUUCAAAUGUUGGCAAAGAUAGAAGAGCAGUAGAAACUCGCUUUCAGUGGGAGAAACAAAGGGAGGGUUUGCUGUCAUGGGAUGAACAUGGGCAUUAUUUCGCCCUUUGCGAUCAGAAAGGGACGGCUGAAAGCGACCAGGAAAUAUAUUGGUUGCACGUCCAGUCCAGAUGGAGAAGAAGAAUAAGCCAAACCAAUCACC
Molecule: long non-coding RNA, 642 nt
Filed under: Hordeum vulgare
Lineage: Eukaryota; Viridiplantae; Streptophyta; Magnoliopsida; Poales; Poaceae
Description: long non-coding RNA (HVUL_LNC013247)
Source: RNAcentral